Long non-coding RNA from Rosa chinensis, 332 nucleotides. RefSeq lists it as uncharacterized. The transcript is spliced from 3 exons. The record is from RefSeq and is a predicted model, not a curated record. NCBI's taxonomy places the organism in Eukaryota, Viridiplantae, Streptophyta, Magnoliopsida, Rosales, Rosaceae.
UUCUGAUUUCUGCUUUCUGCUUUUGAUGGAUUUGGCGAGAGUGAGGAUCGCAGACUCCACCCCUGUAACUAUAUCUAAGACGGUCCAACUCUCAUAUACGAAGCUUAUUAUAGGGUGGCUUAACUACUACACGAUGGUUGAGAAAUUUGAUUCAUCAAGGGGGUUCAAAAUCUCUACUUAUGUUUACUGAUGGAUACGUCAGGGUGUUUCAAGAGCACUGGUUGAAAAUUCCAGAACCUUACUACUGCCUACACAUUUGCAUGAGAGGUUAGGGUUAAUCAAAAAUGCAAAAGUUAGAUUGGAAGAGAAACGAAUAACUCCAUCUAUCGAUG